CAAUAGCGUAUAUUAAAGUUGUUGCGGUUAAAAAGCUCGUAGUUGGAGUUCUGCCAGGUGCCGCCUGUCCGCCCCAGUGGUGAGUACGUGGCGCGCAUUUGGCCCUUUCAAGGGGAGCGUAUCUGCACUUUAUUGUGUGGUGCGGGAUCCUUGACUUUUACUUUGAGGAAAUAGGAGUGUUCCAAGCAGGCUCUCGUCGUGCACAGCUCAGCAUGGGAUAAUAGCAUUGGACCUCGAUUCUAAGCUGUUGGUUGCCAGAAGCGAGGUAAUGAUGAAGAGGGAUAGUUGGGGGCAUUCGUAUUUAACUGUCAGAGGUGAAAUUCCUGGAUUUGUUAAAGACGGACUACUGCGAAAGCAUCUGCCAUGGAUGUUUUCAUUGA
Molecule: ribosomal RNA, 380 nt
Filed under: uncultured eukaryote
Lineage: Eukaryota
Description: partial 18S ribosomal RNA
Rfam family: Eukaryotic small subunit ribosomal RNA
Source: RNAcentral